Molecule: ribosomal RNA, 465 nt
Filed under: uncultured Klebsiella sp.
Lineage: Bacteria; Pseudomonadati; Pseudomonadota; Gammaproteobacteria; Enterobacterales; Enterobacteriaceae
Description: bacterial SSU rRNA
Rfam family: Bacterial small subunit ribosomal RNA
Source: RNAcentral
CCUACGGGCGGCAGCAGUGGGGAAUAUUGCACAAUGGGCGCAAGCCUGAUGCAGCCAUGCCGCGUGUGUGAAGAAGGCCUUCGGGUUGUAAAGCACUUUCAGCGGGGAGGAAGGCGUUAAGGUUAAUAACCUUGUCGAUUGACGUUACCCGCAGAAGAAGCACCGGCUAACUCCGUGCCAGCAGCCGCGGUAAUACGGAGGGUGCAAGCGUUAAUCGGAAUUACUGGGCGUAAAGCGCACGCAGGCGGUCUGUCAAGUCGGAUGUGAAAUCCCCGGGCUCAACCUGGGAACUGCAUUCGAAACUGGCAGGCUAGAGUAUUGUAGAGGGGGGUAGAAUUCCAGGUGUAGCGGUGAAAUGCGUAGAGAUCUGGAGGAAUACCGGUGGCGAAGGCGGCCCCCUGGACAAAGACUGACGCUCAGGUGCGAAAGCGUGGGGAGCAAACAGGAUUAGAUACCCCUGUAGUC